Oxyura jamaicensis (ruddy duck) is the source of this 175-nucleotide long non-coding RNA. RefSeq lists it as uncharacterized. The transcript has 3 exons. NCBI's taxonomy places the organism in Eukaryota, Metazoa, Chordata, Aves, Anseriformes, Anatidae. The record is from RefSeq and is a predicted model, not a curated record.
CCAUCUUUUUUCUAAGCCCAUUUUAAGUACUGAAAAACUGCUGUGAGGUGUCCCCGGAGCCUUCUCAUCUGCAGGCUGAACAUCCCCAGUUCUUGGUCUUUCUUCACAGGAGAGGUGCUCCAGCCCUCUGAUCAGCUCUAUGGCCCUCCUCUGGACUCGCUGCAACUGAUCAAUG